RNAcentral lists this ribosomal RNA (327 nucleotides) under uncultured eukaryote. RNAcentral's name for it is "partial 18S ribosomal RNA". It matches the Rfam family "Eukaryotic small subunit ribosomal RNA", at positions 1470 to 1796 of the family's 1831-position model. The record is from RNAcentral.
CCCUUAGAUGUCCGGGGCCGCACGCGCGCUACAAUGGAUGAAUCAACGCGUCAUCCUGGCCCGAAAGGGUUGGGGAACCGCUGAACCUCAUCCGUGGUUGGGAUUGGGGUUUGUAAUUAUUCCCCAUGAACUAGGAAUUCCCAGUAAGCGCGAGUCAUAAGCUCGCGUUGAUUACGUCCCUGCCCUUUGUACACACCGCCCGUCGCUACUACCGAUUGGAUGGUUUAGUGAGAUCCUCGGAUUGGUCACGGCACGGUGGCAACACUGCGUCGGUGUGCCGAGAAGACGAUCAACCUUGAUCAUCUAGAGGAAGUAAAAGUCGUAACA